RNAcentral lists this long non-coding RNA (2736 nucleotides) under Sus scrofa (pig). RNAcentral describes it as "lncRNA (ENSSSCG00030072031.1)". Lineage: Eukaryota; Metazoa; Chordata; Mammalia; Artiodactyla; Suidae. The record is from RNAcentral.
AGGGUGGAGUGAGGGAGCAGCUUGUGUAAAGAAAUCAUUGAGAAAUUUCUAGCGUAACUGGAGGGAAUUAUAAACGACAUCGACUUGGAGCAUAAACUUGCUGCCUAGUUACGAGCCACAGCAAAGGUCUCCAGGACGCGUCUUACAGAACAAACAGAAGACAAGGGCGGGAGCUUCCCGAGCGCAGGGAGGGGCGCUCUGGAUGCCCAGGGGGUGGCCCUCCUUCAUUCUAAUGCCACACGGGCCCUGCUUUCACCUGGGCCAACCUGAGGGGUCCUGGGCAACUGGGGGUCCUGACCUGGGGUCGAGGCUAGUUAAAGCACCUGGCAUGCUGACUUGGUUGUGACCUUCUGCUCGUCACACGAGUGAAAUGCAGAUUCCUGAAGUCUGUGUGGCACAGAGCCCCUGGCCCUGGUGGAUCUCCUCUGGGAGCCACUGGGGCUCUGCCUCUGGGCCCUGAGCCUCGGGAACAAGCCCCACCCGGCCCCCAGCAGCACCUGGUCCUUCGCCACCACCUCCAGGGCAUGAGUGAGCUCCGGCCAGAGGGCCUCCCUCUGCACAGGAGUAUGUGCGGAGCCUGCUUGCCUGAGGAAGGGCGGUUGCAGGUGUUGGGGUGCAGCAGGUUUGGGGGGCAAGGCUCUGGUAAGAGUUCAGCCUCCCCUCGGACUGGGAAAAUGCCGAAGACAGUGCCAGCAGCGCUUUCCACGAGGUGGUGGCUGAAUCCAGGACUGGACCUGGAGACAGCUGACCCAGGGGUCCGGGCCCCUCUCUGGGCAGGGCAAUCCCAGGCACACCCUUAAUAGCCAGAAACACCCCCAGACGUUGGCGAAUGCCCGGGAGUAAACGCCUGCCAGGGCAGCCGCUCCAGCCCCAUGAGGGGGCUGGUGUUUUCUCAAGGGCUGCUUCCUUCCAGCCAGAGUGGGAAUUGAAUCAGGACCAGCUGAAAAACUUGCAGAACCCAGUGGCAAAUCAAAACACGGGGCUCCUGGUUCGAAUAUGAUGUGAUGCCAGGUGUUGGGCCAGACGCGGGCCUGCUGGCCUUGGCCGCCUGCCCAUGAAGCUGGUUGGCGCUGAAUCAAAUACAAUGCCCCCGAAACAGUGAAUCACCAACAAGCUGCAGAAAUCUCUCAUAGCAAUGAUUUCAAUAGACUCUUUUAAACUUGGUGGCCCACGGGUGGCUGGUGUAGGGACCCCAGUCUGAGCUCCGCCCUGUGCCGAGUAGCUUCGCCUUUCCCAAAGCCUGGCCUCCACAGGACGAGAGGGGCCCAAGGCAGCGGCGUGGCAGCAGGAUGGGCCUCUCCUGGAAGCAGGUACCGUUUUAGGUGGUGUGUUCCUUGAAGGCAAGAAUGAUGUUUCACAAUAUACACCCAGUGCCUAUCACAGCUUCUUCUACUGUGGUUAAAACAAAACAAAACAAAAAAAAAAAAAAAAAAAAAAGAGCGUUACCAUAAACCCUCCGGCCAUUUCUAAGCUGCUUCAGGAAUGUAAAUAACAUUCACCUUGUUACUGAAUCAUCUCCAGAUCUUUGCAACCUCACAAAACUGCAACUGUCCCGUUAAACAACCCUUGCCACCACCUAGCCCUCAGGCCCCAGCAAACACCCUGCGAAAGAAUCUUUGCCACUUACUAAUCCAGGUGCCUCAUAAGAGUGGAAUGACACAGUCCUUGGGGUUUUUUGUAAAUGUACAUUUUUGGGUAACUUUUACUUCGCUUAAUGGCCUCAAAAUCUCUCCACGUUGCAGCACAUCGCAGAAAUCCCCCCUUUUUAUUUGUCGUGGUCACUCCUAUUAUCUUUCUUCUAGUUUGUUGACAUACAGUGUUCGGUAGGCUUAAGGCGUGUGGCACAAGGAGGUGACCCGCCCGCCUCAUGAAAUGACCGUCACGACGUCAGAAGUUCCCCUGGGGCCCUGGUGGGUCUGUGGCCGGCAUUCCAAUCCCCGCCACCGGGCAGGAGGGAGGCCACAGAGGCUGCCGGGGGUCGCCCUGGUGGGCUUCCCUUCAAGGACUGGUGGGGUCAGCCUCCCGGGCCUGCGGGACUCCGGGCCUUCAGGGCGCGGCGGGCUCUUCACUCAGAGAGACAAACUGCACUUUAGCAUGAACAGUGAGCUGUCUCCACCUACUCCCCGUCCCCACGUCCCUGGAUCCUGGUUGUGAACUGAAGUUUGGCACCUGCCAUGAGCCUCUGCGUGGAGUAAAGACCGACCCGCGGCAGCCCCGGCGUGGAGCUCAGGGUGGACCCCAGGGGAGAGGCCUUCCGACAGCAGGAGAUUUUCUGCGCCCGAUUCUUGCAUCUCCUCAUGUCUAGAAAAACACUAAAAUCCUUCACGGCGAUGUCUGCUCCUCGUGACCGGUAGCGACCUUCGGGAGACCCGCUAGAAACGUCCAUAUGUUGUGUGCGAGCUGCGCGCAGCUCCGUCCCCUGCACCACAUCCUGAUGCUCCCCGCUUCCCCCUCGGGGGGUCUUCGGACUCCGGUCCGGUCUGUGGUCACGGAUAAAGAAUGUCACAGUCAUCUGGGAACGGCGUCUCCUCCAAGGGUGAGAGCAGGCGAGUCCUGCCGGCUGUGAAAACUCAGGAUACGGGUCCUGAGAGCGGAGGUGCAGAUCAAAGGCACGGUUUCAGGGAGCCCUGCUCCCCGCCCUCUGUCCAAAGACUCCGCUAAGUCCCAGCUCCUCCCUCGCCACCUUGGAGAGGUUUCUCAGGGCUGCCGGAGGUGCUGUCUCCCAGGAGUAAGUCC